This 328-nucleotide unclassified non-coding RNA is filed under the name soil metagenome. RNAcentral describes it as "partial contains 5.8S ribosomal RNA, internal transcribed spacer 2, and large subunit ribosomal RNA". The stretch from base 5 to 119 matches the Rfam family "5.8S ribosomal RNA", at positions 40 to 154 of the family's 154-position model. The record is from RNAcentral.
GAUGAGAACGCAGCGUAAUGCGAUAAGUAAUGUGAAUUGCAGAAUUCAGUGAAUCAUCGAAUCUUUGAACGCACAUUGCGCCCUCUGGUAUUCCGGGGGGCAUGCCUGUUCGAGCGUCAUUAUAACCACUCAAGCUCUCGCUUGGUAUUGGAGUUCGCGAUCUCGCGGCUCCUAAAAUCAGUGGCGGUGCCUGUCGGCUCUACGCGUAGUAAUACUCCUCGCGAUUGAGUCCGGUAGGUUUACUUGCCAGCAACCCCCAAUUUUUACAGGUUGACCUCGGAUCAGGUAGGGAUACCCGCUGAACUUAAGCAUAUCAAUAAGCGGAGGA